UUUUUAGAUUAUUUAUAGUCUAUUAAUUCAAUCCCGGGGCGUUCUAUAUAGUUAUGUAUAAUAAUAUUUAUAUUAUUUAUACCUCUAACUAGAGCGUACCUUGAGCAUAUAUGCUGUGACCCGAAAGAUGGUGAACUAUACUUGAUCAGGUUGAAGUCAGGGGAAACCCUGAUGGAAGACCGAAACAGUUCUGACGUGCAAAUCGAUUGUCAGAAUUGAGUAUAGGGGCGAAAGACCAAUCGAACCAUCUAGUAGCUGGUUCCCUCCGAAGUUUCCCUCAGGAUAGCUGGUGCAUUUAAAUAUUAUGUAAAAUAAUCUUAUCUGGUAAAGCGAAUGAUUAGAGGCCUUAGGGUCGAAACGACCUUAACCUAUUCUCAAACUUUAAAUGGGUAAGAACCUCACCUUUCUUGGUAUGAAGGUUGUGGUUGUGAUAUAAUGUGCCCAGUGGGCCACUUUUGGUAAGCAGAACUGGCGCUGUGGGAUGAACCAAACGUAAUGUUACGGUGCCCAAAUUAACAACUCAUGCAGAUACCAUGAAAGGCGUUGGUUGCUUAAAACAGCA
This 562-nucleotide ribosomal RNA is filed under the name Ravinia pusiola. Its description in RNAcentral is "eukaryotic LSU rRNA". It matches the Rfam family "Eukaryotic large subunit ribosomal RNA", at positions 727 to 1242 of the family's 3401-position model. The record is from RNAcentral. Lineage: Eukaryota; Metazoa; Arthropoda; Insecta; Diptera; Sarcophagidae.